AGUAGUUUGAUCAGUGGCUCGAGGACGAACGCUGGCGGCGUGCCUAACACAUGCAAGUCGAGCGGAGCCAAUUGACGGAUCCCUUCGGGGAGAAGACGAGGAAGCUUAGCGGCGGACGGGUGAGUAACGCGUGAGUAACCUGCCUGUAAGAGGGGGAUAAUUCCUGGAAACGGGGACUAAUACCGCAUAUUGAGCAUCAGUCGCAUGGCAGAUGCUUGAAAGAUUUAUCGCUUACAGAUGGACUCGCGUCUGAUUAGCUUGUUGGCGGGGUAACGGCCCACCAAGGCGACGAUCAGUAGCCGAACUGAGAGGUUGAUCGGCCACAUUGGGACUGAGACACGGCCCAGACUCC
Molecule: ribosomal RNA, 352 nt
Filed under: uncultured Oscillospiraceae bacterium
Lineage: Bacteria; Bacillati; Bacillota; Clostridia; Eubacteriales; Oscillospiraceae
Description: bacterial SSU rRNA
Rfam family: Bacterial small subunit ribosomal RNA
Source: RNAcentral